This 252-nucleotide ribosomal RNA is filed under the name uncultured bacterium. RNAcentral describes it as "partial 16S ribosomal RNA". It matches the Rfam family "Bacterial small subunit ribosomal RNA", at positions 524 to 776 of the family's 1533-position model. The record is from RNAcentral.
UACGGAGGAUCCGAGCGUUGUCCGGAUUUAUUGGGCGUAAAGCGAGCGCAGGUGGUUUAUUAAGUCUGGUGUAAAAGGCAGUGGCUUAACCAUUGUAUGCAUUGGAAACUGGUAGACUUGAGUGCAGGAGAGGAGAGUGGAAUUCCAUGUGUAGCGGUGAAAUGCGUAGAUAUAUGGAGGAACACCGGUGGCGAAAGCGGCUCUCUGGCCUGUAACUGACACUGAGGCUCGAAAGCGUGGGGAGCAAACAGG